RNAcentral lists this ribosomal RNA (253 nucleotides) under uncultured bacterium. RNAcentral describes it as "partial 16S ribosomal RNA". It matches the Rfam family "Bacterial small subunit ribosomal RNA", at positions 524 to 776 of the family's 1533-position model. The record is from RNAcentral.
UACGAACUGUGCGAACGUUAUUCGGAAUCACUGGGCUUACAGGGUGCGUAGGCGGCCUGACAAGUAGGGUGUGAAAGCCCCCGGCUUAACCGGGGAAUGGCGCCCUAAACUGUCGGGCUGGAGUGAGAUAGGGGUGUGCGGAACUUCCGGUGGAGCGGUGAAAUGUGUUGAUAUCGGAAGGAACGCCGGUGGCGAAAGCGGCACACUGGAUCUCAACUGACGCUGAGGUGCGAGAGCGUGGGGAGCGAACCGG